RNAcentral lists this ribosomal RNA (292 nucleotides) under uncultured bacterium. Its description in RNAcentral is "partial 16S ribosomal RNA". RNAcentral also lists the same sequence under 2 other names. The record is from RNAcentral.
GGACUACCGGGGUUUCUAAUCCCGUUUGCUCCCCUGGCUUUCGCGCCUCAGCGUCAGAAGAGGUCCAGCGUGCCGCCUUCGCCACCGGAGUUCCUGUGGAUAUCAACGCAUUUCACCGCUCCACCCACAGUUCCGCACGCCCCUACCCCCCUCGAGGCCGCCAGUAUCCGGGGCAGUUCCACGGUUGAGCCGUGGGAUUUCACCCCAGACUUGGCAGCCCGCCUACGCGCCCUUUAAGCCCAGUGAUUCCGAACAACGUUCGCACGGUUCGUCUUACCGCGGCUGCUGGCAC